Molecule: long non-coding RNA, 921 nt
Organism: Pseudopipra pipra
Lineage: Eukaryota; Metazoa; Chordata; Aves; Passeriformes; Pipridae
Exons: 2
Source: RefSeq, a predicted model, not a curated record
GUGAGUGUAGCUGGAGAUGAUCAGAGGAUGAAGAGGAGGGAGAAGAGGGGACGGAGGAGGAAAAAGAGGAUGAGAAUGAGGAGGAGGAGGAAUGGGAGGAAGAAGAGGAGGAGGAAGAAGAGGAGGAGGAAGAAGAGGAUGAGGAAGAGUAGUAGUAGAAGGAAGUGUGGGAGGAGGAGGAAGAGCAGGAAGAGGAGGAUGAGGAGUAGGAGGAGGAGGAAGAGUGGGAGGAGCAGGAAGAGGAAGAGAAGGAGGAGGAGGAAGAGGAUGAGGAGGAAGAAGAGGAAGAACAGGAGGAUGAGGAGGAAGAGGAGGAGAAUAAAGAGGAGAAAAAGGAGGAAGAGAAGGAAGAAGAGGAGGAGGAGGAAGGCCAUACCUGACAGGAGCAGACCAGGGCUGGAUCAGAGCAAAUCUCCUCUUAAGGGAGAAGGAAAAAUAUAAACAGCAGCCGUUUCCUGUGACCCCUCGGGGACUGGGAUCCGUAGGAAGCACUGAGGGACGUAAAUAUUUCUAAGAAAGGAGUUUUGGAAGUUCACAAAACCUCCCUGCUGCCAAGUUUUGUCUGGAUACUCUUAAUUGAAAGGAAGAAGACCCACAGAUAACCCACGGUGACACCGGUUCUCACGUGCAGGAAUUUUCCUGAUCUGUGUAAAAGGAUGUUAAAUAUUUAAAUUUUAACUGGAGAGGGCUUUUGCUCUUCAUCUUUUCCUCAGGAAGAAUUCCUGAGUGGUUUCUGUAGCCAGAUAUCCCACUGUGUGUCCUGGCAUUGCCUUGCCUUGGGAAGGAUUUAAUUCCCACUGAUAUUGGGAAUGUCUAUAAUGUCUCUCCUACAAACCCAAAAAACACCGGGAAGGAAAUCUGCUUUCUAAGUCUCCCAAAUAUUCAGCCCAAAUAUACAUUAAAUAAACAUGAACCAAAUGA